UUAAGUUCAGCGGGUAUCCCUACCUGAUCCGAGGUCAAAAGUGAUAAGUUAGGCUUUAUGGACGCCAACGCUUUGAAACCAGGUGCGUAAAAUGUGCUACGCUCCACGGACAAUACGCCGGCUGCCAAUAACUUUAAGGCGAGUCCAUACGCAAGGCAGGACAAACACCCAACACCAAGCAGAGCUUGAGGGUACAAAUG
RNAcentral lists this unclassified non-coding RNA (200 nucleotides) under Pyrenochaeta sp. RNAcentral describes it as "partial internal transcribed spacer 2". The record is from RNAcentral. Lineage: Eukaryota; Fungi; Ascomycota; Dothideomycetes; Pleosporales; Cucurbitariaceae.